GAGCCCGCCCCUCUCCCAGGCUCCUGCUCCAGGGCGAACCCGGGGGUCCUCUCCCAUGGCUCUGUGGGGGACCCCGGGGAGGUCGCCCUGGCACGGGACACUGUCGCGGGGUAGGACCCGAGAGGGUCUGGGGCGGUCAGGCUUCAUCCUGAGCACCGCCCGGGUGCAGGGAGCGCUGGGUGCUGGGCAAUACUUUAAAGACACAAAGUCUCAACAACCAUCUUCCGCUUGACGAGACAGAUCAUUCUAAUUUGAGCAGAAGCUACUAUGUCCUGCCCUUUGAACGCGGCGGCCCGGACAGCUGACAAGGACACACUGUGUAUUUCCAUUCCAAUUCUGGGAGUGCUCUGAGGCCUCUGGGGGAGAAGGACCCAUGAAAUAUUCAAAACAUAAGUGAAUAAAAUAUCUAGGUGCUAGAUAUGGGCCAGGAAGAGCCCUCGGCCCUGCAAAGUGUGUGUGAUGGUGAGAAGCUACCGGAAGAGAUGGUCCCUGUGCUUGGUUCAUUCCUUGGACAUUUAUCAAGCUGACGAAUGUAGCAGAGGUGCUUCAGUCGGCUGUAAUUCCACGGGUGGAGUGCUGGCUGGAGAGUUACCUGGGGCUGUCACACUGCAUGGGCUCCGGGACACUGUGGCUGCCCUUAUGUGGUGUCCCCGGAGGGCCCUGCAGGUGUCACACCGCUGCUCCACACUGCCACCUGCUGUCAGCAUCUGUGCAACGUAUCCAGGUCUCUGGGGGCUAGAAUGAAAAACAUGCAUCUCGUAACCAAUGAAAUCGGGCUUGUCCUGAAGACCUCGUGCAUUCAUCCAUUCUCACACUGCUAUAAAGACAUACCUAAGACUGGGCACUUCAUGAAGAAAAGAGGUUUAAUUGGCUCACGGUUCUGCAGGCUUUACAGGAAGCAUAGCAGCUUCCACUUCUAGGGAGGCCUCAGGAAACUUAUAGUCAUGGUGGAAGGUGAAGGCGGGACAAGGCGUCUCACAUGGGAGCAGUAGAGAGAGAAAAAGAGGGGGUGCCGCACACUUUGAAACAACCAGAUCUAACGAUAACUCACUAUCAUGAGAACAGCACCAAGAAGCUGGCGCUAACCCACUUGUGAAGGACCACCACCAUGAUCCAAUCCCUUCCCACCAGGUCCCACUUCCAACGUUGGGGAUUACACUUCACGGCAUCACCCAGAGCACACCCAGAGCAGCCUGCAGCGGCGUGGAAGGGGCUUGCACUGGCCCCAAGGUGCAGGGGAGCCCUGCCUGCCUGUCUCCUGCUAGGCUUGCCUGGGCUCCCGCCUACAGACCAUGAGAAUUCUUCUAGCAUGGGAAGAGAGUCUGACCAAAGUGACAACAGCCAUCCCCUGACUGCCCAGCACUGUUCACUUCUUCCCAGAUACUCCUACCAGACCAGGUCAGCCCUUCUUUUACUGGGGGGCCAGAAAGGUCCCCCCAAUCCAGUCCAGGACUCCAGAUGAUGCCCAUUUCUCUGCCAGUCCCAGCAAUCUCCCUUCUCAGCAUCUGGCAUCCUGGGAUGUACCCUAAAGUUCACUGGCUCAGAGCACCCUAACUAUGGCUGCGGCGAGGGGGGAGGGCGGGAUCAGGUCGGCGUGCUGCACAUGGGUCCUGGGGCGGGAACAGUAUUCUGGCUAUGCUCCUGCAGCUGGGCCCUCACAAGGGGCAGCGUCUGCACCCUCUCAAGGCUUUGCAGAUAAGGGUUUAUUGAAGAGGGAGGUGACCCACACCAUCCCCACUGAGGGAUCUGGUUAGGGGGCUCCCCCCAGAAUGUAGGCAAGAGGGCAGCAUCUUGAUAGUGAGGGUUGGUCACCCGGGAACCACAGUAACGUCUGCAGGGACCUUCCCCCAGUGGCACGCACUUCCCAGAAUGCUCACGGUCACCCUCAGCUUUCAACUGUGGGGACCUAACGCGUCUCCUGGUAGAGUCCUCACUCCCUUGGCUAAAACUUCUGAAAGCAGCGAGGCCGGGCUCCCUGGCUAGGAUGGCUCUGGCCCUGAGCAGGUCAUUUGCGUCAAGUUUCACCACCCAGCACCCUGUGCUUUCCCCAGCUGGCUGCACGCUGGGCCUCCGGGAAGCCGGCAAGCCCACCUGAUUCUGGAUCCUCCCUCCGAGCCUGGGUGACGCUGUCAUGAAAGAAGCUGCCAGAAGCCCACAGCAGGGCAGUUAGGCAGGGAAUGCGAGUCCGUGUCCAGAGCAAGGGUGACUCCAGUCCCUCCAGGACGGAGAAGCCAGUGCGACCCACUGUCCCAGGCCCCCAUGGCCCUGGCUGCUCCUGGCGGACAGAGGGGCAUGUUGCCCACGCUAUGCCUUGUUCCCUCUGGGCUGCCAUGGCCCCUGGAACAAUUCCUGGGACAGCCUGGGGAGGAGGCUGACAAUCAUGCAAGGUGGAUGCAGCUUGGCCCCUCCCAGUCACCUAUGUGUUCCUUCCUCAGACUCCCGUGGGGCUGGAGUCAUGAUUUUGCUCCCCAUCCCAUCUGUAGGCCGCCCCUGCCUGGAUGAGACCACGCUGACACUCACACGCCUCCCUCCAGGAGGACCUUGCCUCCACUUUCUCCAGGGCCACCUGUGAUGCACCAGGAUCCAUCCUGUAAUCCCAGCUACUUGGGAGGCUGAGGCAGGAGAAUCACUUGAACCUGGGAGGCGAGAGGCAGAGGUUGCAGUAAUAAGCCAAGAUUGGACCACAGCACUCCAGCCUUAGCAAUAGAGAGAGACUUCGUUUCAAAAAAAAAAACCUAUGCAAAUCCCAAUUACACACGCUGAGUGGCAUGUUCAGCUGAGCCACCUGCCCAAGGCGGGACCCUCUCUUCCUCCGUCUGCAGGUCACAUGGAGAUGGCAGAGCACCUGCACGUGCACCUGGAGACCCUCUCAAGCCUCGUCUCCUGGCACUGCCUCCUCCUGACAUUGGAGGCUGCUGGGAGUACCAGCCUGUAACCCUCGUUGUGAUGGCACCUGCCUGGUGCUAUAAUUCAGACAUUUGUCUCCCCAACCUCAUGUUGAAAUUUGAACCCCAAUGUUGGAGGUGGGACCUGACAGAAGGUGCCUAGGACAUGAGAGCUUGGUGCUGUCCUCGCGGUCAUGAAUGCAUUCAUGCUUUAUUCCUUCUCACAAGAACUGAUUGUUAAAAACGCUUGGCACCUCCUCUGCCCACUCUCUCUUGCUCCCUCUCUCACCAUAUGGUCUGCAUGCACCUGCUCCCAUCGCCUUCUGCCAUGAGUGGACACUUCCUGAGGCCUCACCAGAAGCAGAUGCUGGCACCAUGCUUCUUGUACAGCCUGCAGAACUGUGUGCCAAAUAAACCUCUUUUCUUUAUAAAUCACCCAACCUCCCAACACAAAUCGUCCAAGACACCUGGUGUCCCCCAAACAGCUCCUUGGUCAACCUCAGAUUCAGGACCAAUCUGAGAGCUGUUUCCGUGAAGGGAGGAGAGGAGAGUUGUUAGCUGAAGAGGACAUGGGUUUGCUCAAGAUCCCUGCAUUCUCCACUAUGGCUCUCUGAUUCUCCUCUCUGAGCUUGUGGCAGACACGGCAGAUACCUCAAGCAUGGCUGGGCAGCAGAUGCUGGCUGAGAGGAAGUGGCUGAGCCCAACUUGUCCCUCCUCAGACCCCAGAAUUGCCAAGACCAGAGUCCUCCAUAAAGACCUCACAAACAGGCAAUCACUGCAUGCUUUUCCACAAUUAAAUAUGUGCACAUCUUAAGGAAAGGACCUAACAUCCUUCAGCAGUAUCUCUUUCCAGGGCAGGGAGUGACUGCGUCAGCAGCCUCAAGUACCUGGAAACUGUCCACAUCAGGCAAAGUGGUGGGAGAGACACAGAUGUUUCCACCAGCAUUUAAAAGAAAGGAAAGAAAAUUAUUGACAAGAAGCCUCCAUGGUGGAUCAGGCUUCAACGUUUUGAUGGACCUGGCCUCUCUUGGAAGCAAAUCCCUGGAUGGAGCCCAUGUCUCUUUGGGCCCCCAAAGGCAGCCUGACCUUGACACGGAGUGCAAAGCAGACUCAGCUGCUUGUGUUUAAUGGGGAUUCGCAUAGUUGGUUUUUGGUUUUGUUUUUGUUUUGUUUUGUUUUUUGUUUUUUUUUGAGAUGGAGUCUUGCUGUGUUGCCUAGGCUGGAAUGCAGUAGCGUGAUCUCUGCUCACUGCCUGCAACCUCUGCCUCCCCAGUUCAAGUGAUUCUCUUGCUUCAGCCUCCCGAGUAGCUGGGAUCACAGGCACGUGCCACCAUGCCCUGCUAAUUUUUGUAUUUUUAGUGGAGAUGGGGUUUCACCAUGUUGGCCAGGCAGGUCUCGAACUCCUGACCUCAAGUGAUCCUCCCACCGCAGCCUCGAACAAUGCUGGGAAAACAGGCGUGAGCCACUGUACCCAGCUGGGAUUUGUGUAGUUUUGUCCGUGCUGUUAUAUGGUGCACUGGGCAGAGCCAGCCAGUCCCGCCUCGAGCCCCGUUACUUUGGUCUCUGAUGCAGAUGUUGUGUGGCAGUGGAACGGCCUCAUCAGCCCCACCUGGGACCUGGCAGGGGAUGGGUCUGAGCAGCCCUAGAGGAGGGUCCCCAGGGCCCACAGCAAGGGUGACAUGACCCACACCAUCCCCACUGAUGGGACCCACACAGUGAACCUCCUCCCACACCCCCUCCCCAGCCGGCCACUUGGACCAGAGAGACGUUAUCAAAGUGCCCUCUCAGAAACGUCGCCUUCAUCCACCAUCCUCUUUUAACCCACUGGGCUUGGUCAGGAAGCCGUUGGUCAGCAGGGGGCAGGUGGGGUUGGGGGGCACCCUUAUGUCCUGUGAGACCCUAGCAGGCACUCCAGCUUGGGAUUUCCAGAGGCUCUGAGGUGGCUAAGAACAGGAUGACAAAUCGACUCCAAGGUUCAACUCUUCCCCUCAUGGACACUCCUCCCUAUGCUGUUCUCAUCUCAAAUUUUACCUGUUUUUCUCAAAGUAGCUCACCAGAGGUUGGAAAUGAGAUCAAAGGUCAGCGUGGAUCUCAACAUUAUUAUUCAUCAGGGAAAUGCAAAUCACACCAGAGAUGAGACGCCAUGACACUCACACUAGCAGGGCUAAAAUUUAAAAGUCUAGCUGGGGCUGGGCAUGGUGGCUCAUGCCUGUGAUCCCAGCACUUUAGGAGGCCAAGGCAGGAGGAUUGCUUGAAGCCCAGGAGCUCAAGACCAGCCCCGGCACCAAAGCAAAACUGUACCUCUACAAGAAUUUUUUUUUUAAUUGGCUAGAUGUGGUACACAUGCCUGUGGUCACAGCUACUUGGGAGGCUGAGGAGGGAGGAUCACUUGAGUCCACGAGUUCGAGGCUUGGUGAACUGUGAUCAUGCCACUGCACUCCAGUCUGGGCAACAGAGUGGGACCUCAUCUCUUAAAAAUAAAGAAAAGGAAAGGAGUGGAAAGGAGAGGAGAGGAAGAAACUUGAUAUUUCAAUUAUUUUAAAUUUGUUGAGACUUGUUUUGUGGCCUAACAUAUGGUCUAUCCUGGAGAAUGUUCCAUGUGCUGAGGAAAAGAAUGUAUAUUCUGUACAGCUGUUGGAUGGAAUGGUCUGUAAAUGUCUGUUAGGUCCAUUUGGUCUAAACCAUAGUUUAAAUCCAAUGCUUAUUUGUUAAUUUUCUAUCUGAUGAUAUGUUGAAGGCUGACAGUGUGAUGUUGAAGACCCCAACUGUUACUAUAUUAGAGUCUCUCUCUUUAGAUCUAAUAAUAUUCACUUUAUAUAUCUGGAUGAUUUGGUGUUGGGUGCAUAUAUAUUUACAAUUGUUAUAUCUUCUUGCUGAGUCAGUCCCUUUAUCGUUAUAUAAUGACCUUCAUCUCUUUGUAGUUUUUGACUUAAAGUCUGUUUUAUCUGAUAGAAAUAUAGCUACUAUCGCUCACUUUGGGUUGAUGAAAUAUCUUUUUACAUCCCUUCCCUUUUAGUCUGUAUGUGUAUUUAUAGGUGAAGUGAGUUUCUAACAGGCAGUAUAUAGUUAGGUCAUUAAAAAAAAAUCCAUUCAGCGAGUCUGUAUCUUUUAAGUGGGGAAUUUCAUCCAUUUACCUUCAGGAUUAUUAUUGGUAGGUGAGGGUUUAUUUUAUAAUUUUGUUAAUUGUUUUCUGAUUGUUUUGUAUAUCCUUUGUUUCUUUGUUCCUUUCUUCCUUCUCAUUAUUUAUCAUUGAGGUUGGGUGGUUUUCUGUAGUGAUAAGGUUUGAUUCUUUUCUUUUUCUGUUUUGGAUAUUUGCUUUACCACUGAGUUUUAUACUUUUGUGUGUUUUCAUGAUAGUGAUUGUCAUUUUUUCACUCACAGAUGUAGGAUUCCCUUGAGCAUUUCUUGUAAGAUCAGUCUAAUGGUGAUGAUUUCCCUCAAUUUUUGCUUGUCUGGGAAAUAUUUUUUUUUUCUCUCUCAUUUCUGAAGAAUAUGUAGUAUAGUAUUCUUGGCUGACUUUUUUUCUUUCAAUACUUUGAAUAUAUUAUCUCAUUCUCUCCUGCCCUGUAAUGUUUCUGUGAGAAAUCUUAUGUUAGUCUAAUGAGGAUUCCCUUAUAUGUGACUUGAUGAUUUUCUCUUGCCAUUUUUAGAAUUCUUUGUCUUUUACUUGAAAGUUUGACUAUAAUGUGCCUGUAAGAGGACAUUUUGGGGUUGAAUCUACUUGGGGACUUUGAGCUUCUUAGAUGUCAGUGUUCAUAUCUCUCCCCAGACUUGGGAAUUUUUUAGCUCUUAUUUCAUUAAAUAGGUUUUCUUUGCCUUUCUCCUUCUCUUCUACUUUUGAAAUUCCCAUAACAUGAACAUUUGUUCACUUAGUAGUGUUACAUACUUGUAGGCUGUCUUCACUCUUUUUCAUUCUCAUUUCUUUUUCUCUCUGAUGGGGUAAUUUCAAAUAACCAGUUUUCAAGUUCAGAAAUUCUUUUUUCUGCUUGAUCAAGUCUGCUGUUGAAGCUAUCUAUUGUAAUUUUUAUUUGAUUGCUUGAAAUCUUCAGGUAUGGGACUUCUAUUUGGCUCUUUUUAUUAUUUCUAGUUCUUUGUUAAAUUUCUAGUUCACAUAAUGAAUUGUUUUCCUGAUUUUGUUGAAUUAUCUUAUCUACCUGUAUCUCACUGAGUCUCCUUAAGAUUAUUGUUUUGAAUACCUUUUCUGGCAGUUAGUUGAUUUCCUCUUCACUGGGGCCUGUUAGUAGAGAGUUAUUUUGUUCCUUUGGUGAUAUGUUUCCUCGUCUUUUUAUGUUUCUUGUGUCCCCGUGUUGAUGUCUAUGUAUCUGGUGGAACAAUUGCUUCUUUCAAAAUUUCUAGAGUGGCUUUCAUACAGAAAGGCUUUUACCUGCAGUGGAUUUUAGUGUGCCAUUUGGGAAGGGUAUGGUGACUGCUUCUGGAUCAGUGCAGUGGUAUAGUCUCUGCAGCUUCUUCAGCCAUGUUCAACAUUAGCAAUAACUGUGGACCCGUCAGCAGCCUAGGUUGUAGAAGUUCGUGACACUGGUGGGGACAGUGUAGGCUGUUAACAUCCUCAGUUCAAAGGCUGUUGGGGUUCUUCUAGUCUCAUUUUCCCCAUAAUGGGAAGACUAGCAAGGGGGAUUCCUCAGACUCUAGGGGGCUAGUUCAGCUCUAGGGAAGCAGGCAGUUGAGUUGUUCGGCCUGUAAGGUGGGAUGUCUGGGCUCAGCUACUGCUCUGUUUCUCUGGGAUGUAGGGCACUGCGUCAGCUCAGCCAGGGCACUGAUUCCCCUUGCGGUGGUGUGUCGCUUCCGCUCAGGCCUGAGGGACGGGACUGUCCUGGGUGGCCCAGGCAUUUCCCUGGAUGCAGAGUGCUUCUUCAGCUUGGGUUCCAGGAGGCAUGACUGCUCUGAGCAGCCAAGGUAUUGUUUUCCCUGGAGGCCGUUUAUGGCUUUAGCUCCAGCCUGAGGGGGCAAGAGCGGGUAGUGGAGUGGCCCCACCUUUGCUUGGCCCCACAGAGGAGGUGUAACAGCUGCCUGCAGCUUGGCUGGGGGAUGUGGGGCCACUGGGCUGGGGUGGUUGGGCAGCGGCUUAGCUUCAGGGGUGAAGGGGAGCUGGGGCUGCUACCCCAGGAACAAGAUACACUCCAGCAGUAGUUCCAGUUCCAAGAGGGCACCGCGAGGGCCACGGGGGCAGGCACAGUGUCGAUUCCUUCUCCGGCGGGAGCACAGUGGUGUGGCCUCCAGGCAGCUCACUCCACCCUGGGCUUCGUGCCUGUGAGGACUGCAAGGGACCCCAAGGGUGAGGGCGGUGGGUGUCCACGGUGUUGGUGGGGUCUGCUGGGGUCCUCUUGAUUACCUCCUCACUGAAGGGAGGUGUUUUCCUGGGUUCUAGCUGACCCUGGUUAGGGGAUGGGGUGCCAGGGGCCCGGCAUUUCCUUCUGUUCUUUUUGUGACUGUCAUGAAUUUCUGGGCUUGCCAGGGUUGCUGUCGCUCCUCUGAUGUGUUCUGGAGCUCUCUGUGGGGACUUUCAUUAACAUUUCAUGGCUCAUGGCCGGGUGCGGUGACUCAUGCCUGUAAUCCCAGCACUUUUGGAGGCUGAGGCAGGCAGAUCACCUGAGGUCAGGAGUUUGAGACCAGCCGGGCCAACAUGGUGAAACCCCGUCCCUACUAACAAAAAAAAAAAAACAAAAAAACUAGCCAGGCAUGGUGGCAGGCGCCUGUAAUCCCAGCUACUUGGGAGGCUGAGGCAUGAGAAUCACUUGAACCUGGGAGGUACAGACUACAGUAAGCUGAGAUUACACCAUUGCACUCUGGUCUGGGCAAUAAGAAUGAAACACCAUCUCAAAAAAACAAAAAAAACCAUUUCCUGGCUUGUUUACUGUUCUGGGUCUUUGUGAGGGACACCAGUGCUGGGGGCUUCCAGUCAGCUGUUUCACUGAUGUCACUACUCCCUACUUUUUUCUUUUAUUCCAUAUUUUUACUGUACCUUUUCUAUGUUUAGACACACAAAUGCCACUGUGUUACACUCGCCUGCAGUAUUCAGUGCAGUCACACGCUGCACGGGCGUUUAGAUACACAAAUGCCAUCACGUUACAGUCGCCUGCGGUAUUCAGUGCAGUCACACUCUGCACGGGCGUUUAGAUACACAAGUGCCACCGCAUUACAGUGGCCUGCAGUAUUCAGUGCAGUCCCACGCUGCAUGGGCGUUUAGCUACACAAAUGCCACCGCGUUACAGUCGCCUGCAGUAUUCAGUGCAGUCACACUCUGCACGGGCGUUUAGAUACACAAAUGCCACCGCGUUACAGUCGCCUGCAGUAUUCAGUGCAGUCACAUGCUGCACAGGCGUUUCGCUACACAAAUGCCACCGCGUUACGGUUGCCUGCGGUAUUCAGUGCAGUCACACGCUGCACGGGCGUCUGGCUACACAAAUGCCACCGCGUUACAGUCGCCUGCAGUAUUCAGUGCAGUCACACGCUGCACGGGUGUUUAGAUACACAAAUGCCACCCCGUUACAGUCGCCUGGAGUAUUCAGUGCAGUCACACUCUGCACGGGCGUUUAGCUACACAAAUGCCACGGCGUCACAGUCGCCUGCAGUAUUCAGUGCAGUCACACGCUGCACGGGCGUUUAGAUACACAAGUGGCACUGCGUUACAGUCGCCUGCGGUAUUCAGUGCAGUCACACGCUGCACGGGUGUUUAGAUACACAAAUGCCACCACGUUACAGUGGCCUGCAGUAUUCAGUGCAGUCACAUGCUGCACGGGCGUUUAGAUACACAAAUGCCACUGUGUUCGUCGCCUGCAGUAUUCAGUGCAGUCACAGACUGUACAGGUCUGCAGCCCAGGAGUGAUACGCUGCACAGCAUGGCCUAGGUGUCUCACAGAUUCUACCGUCUUGGUGUGUGUGAGUCACCUCUGAUGUUCUCACAACAGCAAAACCGCCUACCGAUGCAUCUCUCAGAAAGUCUCCCUGUCGUUAAGUGACGCAUGACUGUAGCACUCAGCAACAAAAAGGGAGGAAGUACUGACGUGUGGACUUCAGGAUAAUUCUGCCAAACGAAAGAUGUCAGAUGAAAAAGUCUACACAGUAUAAUCCCGUGUAUCCAGAAUCCUACAGCAAACUCACCAACAGUGGCAGGAAGCAGACCUGCGCUUGCUGUAGAUGCAGGACAGGUAGGAGGGAGGAAGGAG
Molecule: long non-coding RNA, 10069 nt
Filed under: Homo sapiens (human)
Lineage: Eukaryota; Metazoa; Chordata; Mammalia; Primates; Hominidae
Description: non-protein coding LINC01694:18
Source: RNAcentral